Long non-coding RNA from Passer domesticus (house sparrow), 7003 nucleotides. RefSeq lists it as uncharacterized. The record is from RefSeq and is a predicted model, not a curated record. The transcript is spliced from 4 exons. Lineage: Eukaryota; Metazoa; Chordata; Aves; Passeriformes; Passeridae.
CGGAGCCCCACCCGGGGCUUCACCCGGGGCCUCACCCGGGGCCGCUCCGGAGCCUCACCCGGGCCUCACCCGGGACUUCACCCGGGGCCUCACCCGGGCCUCACCCGGGCUUCACCCGGGGCCGCUCCGGAGCCUCACCCGGGGCCUCGCCCGGGGCCGGCGCGCUCCGGCCCGCCUGUGCCCGGAGCUGUAGCACAGGCGGGGUCAUGGGUGUUUAGAGGCGCAGGGUGAAAGGAGAACUCUGCCAGCCUCAUGGUGUGGUUCGUAGAAGAUCCAAGGAAAGUUGCCCCGCAGUGCCCCCAGUGCUCCUGGCCCCUUCAGCUGGCUGGCUGGCUGGAUGUGGGGAGAGCCACCCGGUUCCCAUAGCUGCACCCGGCUGUAGCUGUGCCUGCUGAAACUAUCUCCAGUGGGAGCACAGCUGUGGGUUGGGGCAACCUUGGAAAUCAUCCUGGAGUCCCAUAUUCACAGCAGCCACAUGUUGAACAUCCACUGCUUCGUCAUUUCAUGCCAAAACUGUUUCUCCUUACUUUAGAAUAAAAUAUGAUUGCAAUCAGGAGAGACAAAGCUUCAGAUGACUUGGCAUUUUCCUUCCUUGAGUGACUGCAUUUCUCCAGGUUGAUGUCUUUCCUUUUAAAGAAAAUCAUCACAACAGCAAUUUGUGGGAUAUAGGGUCUAUGCUCUUCACAUCAAAACAAGAGGAGUUUUCACUGAACUGCUACCAAUCAGGAUUAAAAGAUCAUGCCACUGAAGUUACCUACACUUCAUUCUGCAGCCAUCUCUGCUUUGCAUCUUGGCAACCUCACCUUUCCGCUGGGGCAGGAUCUGUGAUUCCUGAAGGUACAACAAGUGACCCAUGUUUCACAUCAUGUUCUCUCCAUGGAAAAAAAUGCCUUAUGAGCAGUGGGUGGACGCUAGUUACUAUCCAAAUUCUAAAAUGAUCUUCAGGUUGAAGGGAAGCUUGUGGAAUGCCCAAGAAAGCCUUACCUCUGCACCGAGUGAAGGAAGACUCUCAGCUCUCAGACCUUUUCUUGGUUAUGAAGACAGGUAACUCCUCCUUGAUGGACAUACUCUUAAAUUCCCUUUACAGACUACAGGAACCAAAAAAGACACAGAACAAUGAGUGUUCUGAGUGCUAAAUGUUAGAACAUAAUCACAGGGGAAAAAAAAAGGCAAGAAAAGUCAAAGCAGCCCCUCUGGAGAUAAAAAGAGAACCAAACAAGAGACUAUAAUAAAUUCUAACCAAAAGACAAAAAAUAAUUCCCUUCCUAAAAGACAUGCAACACAAGGAUUGAAGAAAAAGGCAGCCUGAUUCUAUUAGCCAAGUAUUAACACCCCUGGCUAAAGAAACCCUGCAAAAAGGAAGGAUUAACAUUUUCAAUAAAGGGGACCAGAUAUUGCAGUUCUAAUCAUCAGCACACUCCACUGACAGAAGAAUGGAAAAUAAUGUUCUUAAUAGUGUGAAAGAGAACAGGAGGUACACAGGCAAAGAAUCAGAGGUUGCUGCUGGUAAAUGGCAAAUAACUUGCCUAGAAAAAAGCAUCACAAAUAGGGGAGGUCACUGCAAGAAAGAGUAACUUUGCAAAUUGUCCCAGCACCUCUGUGUCUGGCUGGGCUGCAAUUCUGGUGGGUAGCACCAAGCAUCGAGGCCAUGUUUUGUGUCGCGAGUUUCUAGUCACCAUUUUUAAAAAAAAUAGACCCCAAAUGUCCUAAACAUUGCAUAAUCUUGCAAAAACCCAUAUCGAUUUACUGAGUAGCUCUGAAGUGUAAUGCCUUGUGUUCUUGUGCUGCCUGUCAUUGCAGCAGCAGCCUGCCUGUUGCGUUAAGGUGCGUGUGGAAAGACAGGAAUUGUGUUGUGUGCUUUAGUGUAAACAGUCACAGUCUCUUUACAACUGAGUCUGCUUGAAGUAGCUAUUUAGCAUUGGCCUCUAGAAGCUGAGCAGGACUGAGCCAUUCCCAUCCCUACGGAGCAGCUUGCCAGGUAUUACAGCUGGAGACAAUUUGAAAAGAGGUAUUCUUUACCGUGUCUGCUCUGAACCUGUUGGGCACCUUUAAAGGUAUCAUGAUCUGAGAACUCCAAAGCAACCCUCUUUUAAAGAAUGAUGCUUGAACUCCAUCUGCACCCCCUUACUUCAUCUCAGAACCUCAGAAGAUGAUGUACUGCACAGAAGUUUUGCCCCAUGAAAUGAGCCUGUUUUCUUUUGGAGAAGAAUGAAGAAGAAAGGAAAGCCUCAAAUACAUGGAUAUAAUUGUCUUCAUUAAAAGCUGGCUGAAAAGACUUUAUCCUGUGGGGUCUACUCUCUGUCUCUCUGAGCAUGUUCGGAGCUGCAGUCGGGCUGGCACCAGCUCCAGAAGUCAAAAUGUUGAAGGACUGAAGUAGGUUGGGAAGGACUGACUCAUGGCAAAGGGAAGAAGAAUGAAACUGGGAUGCAAAGCAUCGUCAGACCACUUGCUGCUCAACAGCAUCUCUGCUGGGUUUGCUUAUCUUCUGAAAACUAGCCAUGUGCUGGAGGACAUUCCCCUAGGAACUGCCUGGUCCUGACAGGCUAACUAUCCCAGUAUAUUCAUGGCAAUUUAAGGCAGAAGCUCUAAGAUCCUGCAUUCAGUCUCCAGGCUGAAUUGCUCUCUUCUCAUGGUGCAAGUGCAGCCUUUCUCUGUGGUAAAUCACAGCUACUCACCUGAAUAUGGCUGCAGUUUGUUGAUAGAUAAAGUAUUUGUAGUCUGUAUACAGAAUGUACGAUUUGCACAAGAAACAGAAAGUUUUUCCCUGUAAAAAAACCCCACCCAAUUUAAAGGUAUUGUAAUGACCAAAAUCACAGUUAGAUUAUUACUGCUACUGAAAGUAGGUUUUGAGGAAGUAAUAUUAUGCACCUGUCUUUAGGAAGUGUUGCUGAAUCUCCUGCUUUGGGAAACUCUUUCUGAUGCACACAAACUGCCCUCUUAUAUUUACCACGCACCUUCUCUACAGAAACUCCCAACAAACAUACGUCAGCAAAGAAACCCCUGCUCAAACAGCAUUUUGAAACAAUGCCUCAAGGUUUCAGUAGCCCUGUUGAUCUCAUGUGGAUUGUACCCUGGUGUUUGAGGGGGACCACGUGCUGUGAGAGUGCCCCGGGGCAGACAGAGGUAACAGCCGAGGUGCACAGUCUUGUGUUACAUAUCAAUCUAGCUGACAUGUUUGUAUGUCAAAGCUGCCAUGACUUCUGAAAAUCAGUUUAUUAUUCCCUUUGAAAGUGCAUUUGCCUGUCAUCAGGACCCGCGUGCUGAUCAAAAUUUCAAAGUCACGAGGGGUCUCAGAAUCCCCACUAAUGAUGAAUGGGACAAAUGAAUACACACUGAAAAACCUGAACUACUGUCCCUGAUUUUUUUUUUUUUUGGACAUGCUGUUCACACAUAAUUCUCCUAAAGGUAGUAUGGAUUUGGGAAUGCUCAGCUUCCACAAAAGCAAUGGGCUGUUCACACAUAAUUCUCCUAAAGGUAGUAUGGACUUGGGAAUACUCAGCUUCCACAAAAGCAAUGGGUGAAGAAGGUGGUAAAAAGAGAGUCUGUACUGGAAGUGGGGAGGAAGGAAAUGCAGAGACGAGAAGGACUGCUGUGCUGGGGAAUAUACCAUGAUGCAUGUAAUUGAUUGGGUCUUGAUUCGAAAAGAAAUCUGUUUGCAAAGAAAACAAUGAGAUUUUUAUGUUUUGACUGACCAAAGCCUUGAUGCUAUUCCACAGCAUGAGAGCAGCAUCCUUCCUUAGAAAGACAUCAGCAGUCCCAAGUGGCUAUUUCUGCUUUUGUAGUGAGAGAGAAAAUGGUAAGAGAAAGAAAGAAAAUGAAGUGCCUCUGACAAGGAAACAAUGUGCCAGAAGCAUCUCCUUUAAAUACGAAAGGCAAAAGGACAGAACUUGAUUCAUUCUCCAUCUGUUUUGUGUUUGUUUGUUGGGGCUUUUUACCAUCCAAUAUUUUACCUUGUAUUUAUUUCUUUUUCCUCUUGAAAUAUUGUGCUUUACAGUAAGAAAUCAUAAAACUGUGGAGGUUAGAGAUGCAAGAAGCCUAUUAGAUCAUCUGCUCCACUGCUCUUGGCCAGCAGAAAAUUGCUCCCUAUGGUACAUUUUCUAAUGUUUUGUCCAGCCAUGUAAAAAUCCUGAGUGACCAGGCUUCCACCAGGUCCCCCAGCAGCUUUUCUACAGCUGAGUACAUCUUGAAAGAUUUUCCUCUACUCAGCCUAUGGUUUCAUGUUGCUAGUUUCACCCCAUUUGGCACUUCUGUUUCUGUGUAGCAGUCUAAAGUGUUACCUCCCCUUUGGCAUUCUGAAUCUAUACCUGCUUAGCAUGGAGUCACAAAAAAACAGGGCUGAAAGGACCUUUGUUGUUCAUACACACAAAGCUUUUAAAUCUGCUUUGUAAGGCUGUCUGUCUAGAUUCCUGGUAUUUUUUAUUGUUUUCUCUCCUUUUACCAAUUUGUCCAUGCACAGCAACUCCCCCGACUGGGUGUAUUAUUCCAGAUGCAUUUGCAUUAAAAUGAUGUAGAAAAUAGAUCUCUAUUGCCUUUGAUUCAAAUAUCAAGGAAACUUCACCCUAAAAUUGCAUCAGCAUUUUUGCAGCCAAACUGUAAUGUGCACUUAUGUUCAAUUGGCCACCCACUCUCAUUGCAAAGUGUUUCAGUAUUCCUGCUAGCAGUUUGCCAUUGCCUACAAGUGUUUUGGAGGGUUUUGCCUCAGGUAUAUUUUUAUGCUUACAAGUGGAAACUCAUCUUGUUAUUUUCUCUUGUAAUGUCCCCAGGCUCACUAGGUCACUCUGUGUUAUUUCCAUAUUCUGAGUCACCUUUCAGGUCCUCCCAGGCCAGGGUCAUCUGUGAGAGCCCUUUGUGUACAGCACAUAUUUCCUAUAUUAUUAAUAAGGACACUAAAUCACAGUGUUUCUGACACAAACAAUGUUAUUGUGUUUUUCUGGUUUUUUUACUAGGUGACUUUAAUGUGUUGCCUAGUGCUUUCUCCCUUCCCUAUGCAUCUUUUCCUUUCCAGUUCAGAUUCUUCUUUCUCCUGGAACUGUGACAUUGCCCUUUGUAUCUAUUUUUUUCUUUUCAUCAUUAUGCCUUUUUUCAGAGAUUUUUUGUUGUUGUUGUUAUUGUCUUUCAUGUUUUCUGGGCAUAUUAUUUACAGCUGUAUUUUAGUAAAAUAGAAUUAGAAGCAAUGUUCUGGAUCACUGAAUCCAGAUCACAAUUAUUUCAGAGAGCUGUGCCAUGAAAUCCCUUUAAAAUAUUAAUUGAGUUUCAGUUUGAUGAAACUGUAAAACCAAUUAAGUUUUCUGUGCCUUCUUUUUCUACUACACAGCCAUUGUCCAGCUAUCCUACUUGGAGAAUUAAACUCCUUCUUUGACAUCCCAGACUGAAUUUGCUUAUGACCAGUUUUUAUCUCUUGUCCAGGUAACAGUAGAGUCCUGGAGCUUCAUUAGUUCUUGUUCCUCUCUAUUGCUUUCCCUUUCUCACCUUCAGUAUAUUUGUGGGUAGAAAUCAGAUUCUGUCUCAGCAUUUGCUUUCUGAGUUUAUACAUGCCAAACUCUGCCAUAAGAUGACUGAUAAAAGGCAGUGUAAAAACAGCUGGAUUAAAGAUACCAAACUUGCAGGAAGUGGUAUAAAUCUUUCUAAGAAAACAUCAUGUUGUUGUAACUGUAAACACUGAAUUUAUGGUUCAUUACCAUAUUAUAUAUAUAUAGCUUCUUUUAGACUUCACUUUUGUAGCUUCCAUUCCCUGGAUGUUCCUACCAGUUCUUCAUUUGCCUGGUGUAGUUUUAAGCUGCCUUCUGAAACAUGAAUAAUUACAAUUGCAUGCCAAAGCCCAGAUUAAGUCUCCAAAACAGUUGUGUUCAGGUAUCAAGUGGAAAUAGCUCAACUGGCCUAUUUACCUAUGGAAAUGUCAUAGCUAUGGUAAACUGACUCUGUCCACCCAGCUCUUUCUUCUGUGUCACUUCCAAUUAGCAAACUUACAUUCACAACUCAGUUAUUUUUGAGUGGAUAAGCUCAUAUGUCAUGCUAUUGCACCUCUAUUCAUCUGGCCCAUGAGUUAACACAGCCCUUCCACUCCUUUGGAAGUCUGACCCCGUCCUCAUUCCUAGGGGGAUGCCUCCCAAAUUUUAAUAUUCCCUCCUGUUGUUCCUAAAUUACUGAAUCUCCUGUUUUCCCCAGUGCUCAUAUUAUUCUGGAGUUCAGUGCCUUUGUAGAGCUCCAGUCCAUGACCAUCUCAAAUUCAGAAAGCUUCUUUCACAAGGGGUCCCAGACUUCCUUUGUGGCUGUAAGUCCAUUGGUCAUAAGCAGCAGUGUCUUGGGUCUACCUGGUAAAGGGCAACUUUUGGGGUUUCUGCAUACAUUUUUUGGAACCCUAAAAUGUUGGGUUUUUUUCUUCCUAAAGCUUCUGUUCACCCUGUCAUCAUGUCCAAGGCUGGUUGUGCAUUGUGACAGUGUCAUUUCCCCAUUGUACCAUAGGAUCAAUUGUGUUACGAUUCUAUUGCAGAAUAGUAGUCAAUCUCCUGUUAUAUAUGUGUGGUGUUCAAAUAGGUCAUUUGAUUAUUUGAUACAAUCAGAUAUUUUUGUGUCCUCUCCCAAUCAUUUGUUGCUUUUAGUACAAUUCUACGAAGUGUGUUUGUAAAAUAAAAAUUCCUUUGUAAGCAGUAUAAAAUUUCGUAUAAAACAAAGUGCUGUUUUCCCUUUCAAGUAUGUCAUAGAACCAGCUACAUUACUUGUUUGAUAAAUUUUGUUGUACAGCAAGGAAAAAUGUUAAUAUGGGUAAAUAGUUAAUAAAUUGUACCCAUUUUAGCAGAUGUCCAUGAGGACUGGACAGGAAAAAACCUAGCAGUACAAUUUUCUAUUAUAUAACCAUGUCAAUUUUGCCAAAUUCCAGUCUGAACACCAAAAGUAGCUCUGAUAUCAGACUAUCCUCUUUUGAACUAUCCAGUUUUUUGGAAUUAAAUAUCAAUGUUUCUACUUUUAAAGAUAUUGUGGUCCUUUGUUUAUUUGUGUAUUCUAU